AGAACAGGCUGUUUGCUCCUUUCUGAAAGCCGACCGCCACUGGCAGCCACGAUCAGGACACAGCAAUGGGGGAAGGAGAGCAGCUGAUCAGCAUCAGUAGGGAAGAAGUCUGGGACAUGGCUCCUGCCUGGGAUGCUCCUGGCUGAUGGCAGCACCUUCUCCCCAUCCUGGGGCUGUAGGGUCACCUCCCCGCCACCAAGGUAACAUGAAGUUCACAUUGCAGUAUGCAUCACAACUUUGGUCACUGAGAGUCCUGGGAGAUGGCCGUGAAUGCUGCGGAGUGACUAGAGCUACUGGCUGCAGGCAAGUCAUGACAGCACCUUAGCUUGUCACUCCAGCAACAGAAGCAGCAACAGCCAGGCUGGGACUAGCUGUAUGAGGAACCACCACAUACAUCUUCCCUUGUGUAUCUGCACAGAGGUACAGCCACACGCAAGUCAGCAGCAGCAAGGCCAACUUCUUAAGCCACCCAACAGGUAUUUGAGCUUCUCUGGAAACAGCAUCUUCAGAUCACAGCUCAGAACCAUUGUCAGACUGAACAGACCGAACAAACAUAAUUCUAGAGACUGUAGAGCAAAUACAGCAGAUCAGAGCACAUUUCUAUAGCAAUACAGGUUGCACACAGCAGCCAAAGCAACUCACAGCAGAGACAUCUCACAGCAGAAAGCUACCCAGCUAUGGAUGCUGAGGUGAUAUAUACCCCACAGCUUGGCAUGGGGGCAAGCAGGAUUGGGCCAGAAGGAAACCGGGACAAACACAAGACUGGGCAGGAGCACAAGCCCUUUCCCUGGGUGGGCAGGAGCAGAGCAGGUGGGACUGGGCAGAAACUAGGCCUGACUGGGGGCUGGCGACCGGGGGAGUACCGUCCUCCUCUGCUCCCCAGGGACCUUGUUCUCAUAGGUCCUCCUCACAGAUGUACCCUCAUUUUCCCAGCCCACGGUCUCCCCCAUGCUGAGAAGGAUGCCCCCCUUCCCCUGAGAUCCCACACAGAUGAUGGUCCUGCUCCAGAGCAGAUGCUCCAGGGCUUGGGAUCUGGGACCCAGAGCAGCCACUGAUCUCCAGCAACCUGCAAUACCCAGGGCUUCAGAUCAAGUCCCCCUCAGCCUGGAGCCAAACCAGGAUACAGCUCCAGCUCUUCAACAGCAAAAAGCUGAAUUAGUUAAAGUCAUGUUGCCAGCUGUGUAUUUAAACAGAAAUUACAUAGGGUUUCUGUUGUGGUAAUGCACCAGGUGCUGGUAGUUCUACCAAGGCAGAUGAGGAGGAGGGGCGGUGGGUCAGGAACUGGAAGCUCCCAUCUCCUGAGAGAGGUGCUCAGGGGAAAGAGGGGCUCCUGAUUCCUGCCCUGCUCACAUGCAGGCAAGGUACCCCAGCAGUCAGCCAGCCCACAGCACCUUGCUCCUUUGAGCUCCCUGGUUCCUGCUGAGCUCUGACCACUGUGAACCUCAGGUGUGGGAAAGAAAAACAUCAUUGGGAGCACUCACAGCCACUGACUCCUACCAUACAUGCCCUGGCCACGAACCGGGAUCCUACAGCACAAGGUGCUGGCCAAAUGCAAACAUCAAAGGUGGCACCCGUGCCAAACUGCAGCCUCUUGGAGGAAGAUGUUAGGGAAGCGAUUAUGAAUUUGGAGCCUCCCGAAGCGUGUUGGCAGCUGGAUCCUCUGGAUGAAUAAAACCCUGCCAAAAAUUAA
Molecule: long non-coding RNA, 1690 nt
Organism: Aquila chrysaetos chrysaetos
Lineage: Eukaryota; Metazoa; Chordata; Aves; Accipitriformes; Accipitridae
Exons: 3
Source: RefSeq, a predicted model, not a curated record